CCUACUAUUUCCUUCACAUAAAAUAUUAAUCAUUCGAAUCAAAAUAUCAACCAUGCACGUAAAUACAAUCCAUAUUAUAAUCAUACCACAAUAAAUUAAUAAAUGAAUAAAUAAAAAUAUAUUUUUACUUUUACUGGACGAGUGGCUCGGUAGAACCCUAAACCCCAAAAUCUAGUAGCCAUUCGGCUCUCUUAAUCCAAUAAGACUGGCGCCCCGAGAGCAAUGCUCGACCAGGGACCUUACCUCCAGUCUGGUCACUUAAGUAUCCAAAUAAGAAAUCUAGUAGCCAUUCGGCUCUCUUAAUCCAAUAAGACUGGCGCCCCGAGAGCAAUGCUCAACCAGGGACCUUACCUCCAGUCUGGUCACUUAAGUAUCCAAAUAAGAAAUCUAGUAGCCAUUCGGCUCU
RNAcentral lists this long non-coding RNA (406 nucleotides) under Ricinus communis (castor bean). RNAcentral's name for it is "long non-coding RNA (RCOM_LNC001208)". Lineage: Eukaryota; Viridiplantae; Streptophyta; Magnoliopsida; Malpighiales; Euphorbiaceae. The record is from RNAcentral.